RNAcentral lists this ribosomal RNA (263 nucleotides) under uncultured Staphylococcus sp. RNAcentral's name for it is "partial 16S ribosomal RNA". It matches the Rfam family "Bacterial small subunit ribosomal RNA", at positions 99 to 354 of the family's 1533-position model. Lineage: Bacteria; Bacillati; Bacillota; Bacilli; Caryophanales; Staphylococcaceae. The record is from RNAcentral.
CGGACGGGUGAGUAACACGUGGAUAACCUACCUAUAAGACUGGGAUAACUUCGGGAAACCGGAGCUAAUACCGGAUAAUAUAUUGAACCGCAUGGUUCAAUAGUGAAAGACGGUUUUGCUGUCACUUAUAGAUGGAUCCGCGCCGCAUUAGCUAGUUGGUAAGGUAACGGCUUACCAAGGCAACGAUGCGUAGCCGACCUGAGAGGGUGAUCGGCCACACUGGAACUGAGACACGGUCCAGACUCCUACGGGAGGCAGCAGGC